GCCAGGCAUAGUGGCGUGUGCCUUUAGUCCCAGCUACUUGGGAGGCUGAGGUGGGAGGAUCACUUGAGCUCAGGGAGUUUGAGGCUGCAGUGAUCCAAGAUUGUGCCACUGCACUCCAGUCUGGGCAACAGAGGGAGACCCCGUCCCCC
Molecule: non-coding RNA, 149 nt
Filed under: Pan troglodytes (chimpanzee)
Lineage: Eukaryota; Metazoa; Chordata; Mammalia; Primates; Hominidae
Source: Rfam by way of RNAcentral